This 443-nucleotide ribosomal RNA is filed under the name uncultured bacterium. RNAcentral describes it as "partial 16S ribosomal RNA". It matches the Rfam family "Bacterial small subunit ribosomal RNA", at positions 338 to 795 of the family's 1533-position model. The record is from RNAcentral.
CCUACGGGUGGCAGCAGUGGGGAAUAUUGGGCAAUGGGCGCAAGCCUGACCCCGCAACGCCGCGUGACGGAAGAAGGCUUUCGGGUUGUAAACUUCUUUUCUCAGGGACGAAGCAAGUGACGGUACCUUCGGAAUAAGCCACGGCUAACUCCGUGCCAGCCGCCGCGGUAAUACGUAGGUGGCAAGCGUUAUCCGGAUUUACUGGGUGUAAAGGGCGUUUCGGCGGGACUGCAAGUCAGAUGUGAAAACCACGGGCUCAACCUGUGGCCUGCAUUUGAAACUGUAGUUCUUGAGUACUGGAGAGGCAGACGGAAUUCCUAGUGUAGCGGUGAAAUGCGUAGAUAUGAGGAGGAAAACCAGUGGCGAAGGCGGUCUGCUGGACAGCAACUGACGCUGAGGCGCGAAAGCGUGGGGAGCAAACAGGAUUAGAUACCCGGGUAGUC